Molecule: ribosomal RNA, 252 nt
Filed under: uncultured bacterium
Lineage: Bacteria
Description: partial 16S ribosomal RNA
Rfam family: Bacterial small subunit ribosomal RNA
Source: RNAcentral
UACAGAGGUCUCAAGCGUUGUUCGGAUUCAUUGGGCGUAAAGGGUGCGUAGGUGGCGCCGUAAGUCGGGUGUGAAAUUUCGGAGCUUAACUCCGAAACUGCAUUCGAUACUGCGGUGCUUGAGGACUGGAGAGGAGACUGGAAUUCAUGGUGUAGCAGUGAAAUGCGUAGAGAUCAUGAGGAAGACCAGUGGCGAAGGCGGGUCUCUGGACAGUUCCUGACACUGAGCACGAAGGCCAGGGGAGCAAACGGG